CCUACGGGAGGCAGCAGUGGGGAAUAUUGCGCAAUGGGCGAAAGCCUGACGCAGCGACGCCGCGUGAGGGAUGAAGGUCUUCGGAUCGUAAACCUCUGUCAGCAGGGAAGAACGGUCACUGUGCUAAUCAGCAGUGAAUUGACGGUACCUGCAAAGGAAGCACCGGCUAACUCCGUGCCAGCAGCCGCGGUAAUGAGGAGGGUGCGGUCGUUAAUCGGAAUUACGGGGCGUAAGGCUGUCUUAGGCGGUAUGUCAAGGUAAGGGUGAACGCCCCGCGUUAAACGUGGGAACUGCCUUUGAAACUGGCAAACUGGAGUGUGUGAGAGGAUGGAGGAAUUCGAGGUGUAGGAGUGAAAUCCGUAGAUAUCU
RNAcentral lists this ribosomal RNA (369 nucleotides) under uncultured bacterium. Its description in RNAcentral is "partial 16S ribosomal RNA". It matches the Rfam family "Bacterial small subunit ribosomal RNA", at positions 338 to 699 of the family's 1533-position model. The record is from RNAcentral.